Molecule: ribosomal RNA, 1348 nt
Filed under: metagenome
Description: bacterial LSU rRNA
Rfam family: Bacterial large subunit ribosomal RNA
Source: RNAcentral
UGAGUACGAGCUGCUACGGCAGCGAAGUGGGUGAUGUCAAGCUUCCAAGAAAAGCCCUAUACCCGUUAAGGCAUGAUGGCCUGUACCCGAAACCGACACAGGUGGGGUGGUAGAGAAUACCGAGGGGCGCGAGAUAACUCUCUCUAAGGAACUCGGCAAAAUGGCCCCGUAUCUUCGGGAGAAGGGGUGCCACCGCAAGGUGGUCGCAGUGAAGAGGCCCAGGCGACUGUUUACCAAAAACACAGGUCUCCGCUAAGUCGCAAGACGAUGUAUGGGGGCUGACGCCUGCCCAGUGCCGGAAGGUUAAGGAAGCUGGUCAGCGUAAGCGAAGCUAGCGACUGAAGCCCCGGUGAACGGCGGCCGUAACGAUAACGGUCCUAAGGUAGCGAAAUUCCUUGUCGGGUAAGUUCCGACCCGCACGAAAGGCGUAACGAUCUGGGCGCUGUCUCGGAGAGAGGCUCGGCGAAAUAGAAUUGUCUGUGAAGAUGCGGACUACGUGCACCCGGACAGAAAGACCCUAUGAAGCUUUACUGUAGCUUGGUAUUGUGCUCGGGCUCGGAAUGCGCAGGAUAGGUGGGAGGCUAUGAACCAUUGCUUGUGGGUGAUGGUGAGCCACUGGUGAGAUACCACUCUUUCCGAGCUAGAGUUCUAACAGCCACCCGUUAUCCGGGGGCUGGACAGUAUCAGGUGGGCAGUUUGACUGGGGCGGUCGCCUCCUAAAAGGUAACGGAGGCGCGCAAAGGUUUGCUCAGGCUGGUUGGAAAUCAGCCGACGAGUGUAAAAGCAGAAGCAAGCUUGACUGUGAGACCUACAAGUCGAACAGGGAGGAAACUCGGCUUUAGUGAUCCGACGGUUCUGCGUGGAAGGGCCGUCGCUCAACGGAUAAAAGUUACUCUAGGAUAACAGGCUGAUCUCCCCCAAGAGUUCACAUCGACGGGGAGGUUUGGCACCUCGAUGUCGGCUCAUCGCAACCUGGGGCUGAAGUCGGUCCCAAGGGUUGGGCUGUUCGCCCAUUAAAGCGGUACGCGAGCUGGGUUCAGAACGUCGUGAGACAGUUCGGUCCAUAUCCGGUGCAUGCGCAGGAAUAUUGAGAGGAUUUCUCCCUAGUACGAGAGGACCGGGAGGAACGCACCUCUGGUGUACCAGUUAUCGUGCCAACGGUAAACGCUGGGUAGCCAUGUGCGGAGAGGAUAACCGCUGAAAGCAUCUAAGUGGGAAGCCCACCUCAAGAUGAGUAUUCCCAUGGGGUAACCCAGUAAGGUCACGGGAAGAACACCCGUUGAUAGGCUCUACGUGGAAGCGCAGUAAUGUGUGAAGCGGAGGAGUACUAAUAGACCGAGGGCUUGAA